Long non-coding RNA from Salmo salar (Atlantic salmon), 789 nucleotides. RefSeq lists it as uncharacterized. The record is from RefSeq and is a predicted model, not a curated record. Lineage: Eukaryota; Metazoa; Chordata; Actinopteri; Salmoniformes; Salmonidae.
AAAAACUGUAAUGUUGGCAGUUAGCAAAGUAACGCUAGCAACAAAACUCACAGCAGCACGUAAACAAGUCCACAAGUUGUGACAAAAAAUUAUGUCCAUCAGCUCUGGGAUCUGAUCCACCAACCUUUCGGUUCUUGUCCCAACGCUCCUACCCACCAGUGCUACGACAUCUGGGCGAAUUGCUUGGUUUGGAAGAAGGAUGAAAGGAAGGCGAGACCUGGGAAACCUCACUGCUCUUUCGCUCCUAGCUGGGGUCACCAUCUGUUAAUGGUUUCCUCGGUGGAAGCCAAAAAUCUUCCCCAGUUGUAGCAAUUGGACUGUUGACCACUGAAAGCACUGAUGCCCUACACUUCGGUGAAGCCCGAUAGACAAAGACCUAGGGGUUCUGCCCAACAUCCAGACGUGGAUACACCUGAUGUCCUCCAUUACCAACCACCCUCCAACUUUUUAUUACAUCAUCUACAGCUACUGUUAUUGUCAUGUCAUUAUCUGCUAAGAACGUUUUCUUGCUCUAUCAUACUGGGCACAUAAUUAUGUGAGAUACACAGAUUAACUAAAAACAUUAGCACUGCAAACACUCAGAACAAAGAGAGCAGCAGUGCCUGGUCUCCCUCUUCAAGUCCCCCUUCUAAGACUGGCUGCCUAUUGAGAACAAGUGACAGGCAGAACAUCCCACCCACACAGUAACCACCUACUCUAUUUUCCACACACCAGAAUUCAGUAUUUUAGUCUAUGAUUGCCAUGUGAGUGUACAAAAAAAUCUAUGAAAAUAAAUUAAUGACAACUGUA